Molecule: long non-coding RNA, 798 nt
Organism: Vicia villosa (hairy vetch)
Lineage: Eukaryota; Viridiplantae; Streptophyta; Magnoliopsida; Fabales; Fabaceae
Exons: 2
Source: RefSeq, a predicted model, not a curated record
GUAACUUUAACUACUUUUCAACCCUACGAUUUAUCAAAACAUUCAAGAUGUCUUCACGUGUUUUUUUCAUUAAAUAAAAUUGGAAUUGAGAGAGGAUGGAAAACAAAAAUCCUGAGAAUGAGAAAAACCUAAAAAAUUUCAACUCUCCUCCUUUUGUCUCUGACCCACCGAUACUGCCACUUUCCGCCACCGACUAUCCAUCUAUUUUUGACUCAGACCGAAAUUGCUUUGUUGUUGUCGCCUCUUUUUGUUGCUGUCACCUACUGUUACUCCCACCUGCCGCCUUUGAUGGAUGCUCUGGGAUGAAAGUGUGGUGUUUCAAUGAUGUAUUGUAUCAUAACAAGAAGAAUGGAGUGUAUGUUUGGCUUAUAUUAUGCAGACAUUGUAUUUAACAAGAAGAAUGGAGUGUAUGUUUGGCUUAUGUUAUGCAGACAUUGUAUCAGAACAAGAAGAAUGGACUGUGAUAUGUUUGGUUUGGGUUAUGCAGACAUUUGUGAAGUAUUACAUAUAAACUUAAUUUUUGACAACUUUUGAAGCAAAAAGAAGACAAAUGCACAAAUUUGAUUUAAGUGCUACACUUGUGAAGCAAAAAGAAUACAAAUGCACAAAUUUGAUUUAAGUGCUACACUUGUGAAGCAUAAAGAAGAUGAAGAACCAAAAUAGUUUUAGGACAUAUUCUACUUUUAGGAUAUAAUGUAUAAGUUGAUAGUGUUUUUUCAAGUUCAAGUAAAAGGAUCAAUUUAUGAUCUCUAUCAAUGUAAUGAAAUCUUAUGAGUAAACAAGUUCUCAUUUGGUUUU